UGUUGAAUUACUAAUAGAAACCAAGAAACUAUUGUAGUGGCUUGCGUAGGGACCUUGUUUGUCUAUAUAUUCACAUUAUAAAAACAGAAUUUGGCUCUGUCAUUUGGAAGUUGAAGUGUUAGUCUAUUCUGAGACAAGUAAACUGAGAAAAGAUGGUGAAGCCUAAAGAAGACACCAACAAGAAACUCAAGAAAAUCCCGGAAAGCGAAUCAUUCGAUCGAAUGCUAGCGGAGAUCAAAGCAAUCACAAGUGACAAAGACGAGCAAAUGAAAUUGCUCGAAGAAAGAGUGGUAACAGAAUUCAUCCAUUACUGUUCUCAGAAGUCCAAAGAGAAAAAAGCUUCUUCUUCUUCUCUACCCGAGAAACCAGGCUGCUCCUCAACAACGUCCCUGAAAAACUCUGCAACUGGAAAACAACAACUCGAAGAAAAGCGCUCAUCUUGGAAGCUGAUUGAUUUGAACAAGUUAGAGCAUGAAAAGAAGCAGCUUAAUGUUCAAGAUUCCAUAGCCGCUGCAGAGGAAGCUAAGGAACUUCUUUCUGUGAUUGUAAAGAGAGGUUAUAAGAUUGGGAAGCCAAUGCUGCGAGAAAUUACAAGAUCAAGAAAGCCAGUGUGGGAUAAGAACAAGAAUAACAUUCAUUGGCCGGUUCUUCUUCUUUUUCCAGAGGUUAUGGCGUGCGAUUUCAUUGAGGAUUUCUGCGACACCGACAUGUUUUCAUCUCAUCUCGAUAUCAUAUCCUUUUUUUUUUUUUUUUUUUUGAAAUUUUUCUUGACGGCUUUAGAUCGAUAUUUCAAACAUGUUAUCUGCAUCAAUGAGGUGAAUUUGUUUUUGUUUUUAUUUUUGGUGUUAUGCAAAACAUACUUGUUGUGAAAUCCUGAGCUUUUCUAACAUGUUUUCAGAAAUCCAUCUGCCUCAGCUACUCGAUAAGCAAAACAAUUACACCCGUGAAGCUGUUGAAGUGUACUAUGAGGCUAAGGAAGAGGAUGCAAGUGAGGAUUCUGAUUCUGGCAUCAGCGCAGCUUUCUGGCAACUUUAUUUGAUGUUAUUCAGACAAAGGCUCUUCCAGAUGGGUCAAAAUAAACGAAAAAAGUACACUUGAAGAUGUACUGAAACAACCUGACUUCGUUAUACAAGGGAUCCCAGCGUUUUAUGUUGUUUCUAAAAUCUCCAAAUUCUACAACGAGUUCAAAGCUGGGAAUUGGAUACCCCACCAUGAGUAAAAGGUUGGUGGUCCGUGGUUAUGGGUCUCUGGGCUUGGUUCUGUCGAAGGUAUAUAGGUGAUUGAGUAUGCUGAGUCAAAGAGAGUCUCGUUUUCAUUGCUCUGUGAUUGCUUGUGGACCAAACCACUAACACGUUUGAGGGUUUCAAAAUGAGGCUUUUAUACGUUCCAAACGAUUGUGUUAGCCUUAUUGCCAUGAUCUUCCUUUUAUAAUUGUAAUUUUGAUUAA
Molecule: RNA transcript, 1447 nt
Organism: Ziziphus jujuba (common jujube)
Lineage: Eukaryota; Viridiplantae; Streptophyta; Magnoliopsida; Rosales; Rhamnaceae
Exons: 5
Source: RefSeq, a predicted model, not a curated record